This 166-nucleotide ribosomal RNA is filed under the name Odontites viscosus. RNAcentral describes it as "5.8S ribosomal RNA". It matches the Rfam family "5.8S ribosomal RNA". From Rfam's summary of the family: 5.8S ribosomal RNA (5.8S rRNA) is a component of the large subunit of the eukaryotic ribosome. It is transcribed by RNA polymerase I as part of the 45S precursor that also contains 18S and 28S rRNA. Lineage: Eukaryota; Viridiplantae; Streptophyta; Magnoliopsida; Lamiales; Orobanchaceae. The record is from RNAcentral.
AAAGUCUAAACGACUCUCGGCAACGGAUAUCUCGGCUCUCGCAUCGAUGAAGAACGUAGCGAAAUGCGAUACUUGGUGUGAAUUGCAGAAUCCCGUGAACCAUCGAGUCUUUGAACGCAAGUUGCGCCCGAAACCAUUUGGUUGAGGGCACGUCUGCCUGGGCGUC